Molecule: ribosomal RNA, 498 nt
Filed under: uncultured bacterium
Lineage: Bacteria
Description: partial 16S ribosomal RNA
Rfam family: Bacterial small subunit ribosomal RNA
Source: RNAcentral
ACUCAAAUGAAUAGACGGGGGCCCGCACAAGCGGUGGAGCAUGUGGUUCAAUUCGACGCAACGCGAAGAACCUUACCUGGGUUUGAACUGCAGGUGACAGCUCUGGAAACAGGGCUUUUCUUCGGAACGCCUGUAGAGGUGCUGCAUGGCUGUCGUCAGCUCGUGUCGUGAGAUGUUGGGUUAAGUCCCGCAACGAGCGCAACCCUUGCUCCUAGUUGCCAUCGGAUCAUGCCGGGCACUCUAGGAGGACUGCCCCGGAAAACGGGGAGGAAGGUGGGGAUGACGUCAAGUCAUCAUGGCCUUUAUGCCCAGGGCUACACACGUGCUACAAUGGGCGGCACAAAGGGCUGCGAACCCGCGAGGGGGAGCCAAUCCCAAAAAGCCGUUCUCAGUUCGGAUUGCAGUCUGCAACUCGACUGCAUGAAGUUGGAAUCGCUAGUAAUCGCGGAUCAGCACGCCGCGGUGAAUACGUUCCCGGGCCUUGCACACACCGCCCGU